GACGAACGCUGGCGGCGUGCUUAACACAUGCAAGUCGAACGGAAAGGCCCUGCUUGCAGGGUACUCGAGUGGCGAACGGGUGAGUAACACGUGGGUGAUCUGCCCUGCACUUCGGGGUAAGCCUGGGAAACUGGGUCUAAUACCGGAUAUGAGCCAUCCUUCGUGUGGUGGUUGGAAAGUUUUUUGGGUGUAGGAUGAGCUCCCGGCCUAUCAGGUUGGUGGUGGGGUAAUGGCCUACCAAGGCGGCGACUGGCAGCCGGCCUGAGAGGGUGGACGGCCAAAUUGGGACUGAGAUACGGGCCAGACUCCUACGGGAGGCAGGAAGGGGGAAUAUUGCACAAAGGGCGCAAGCCUGAUGCAGCGACGCCGGGUGGGGGAUGAACGGCUUCGGGUUGUAAACUCCUUUCGCUAGGGACGGAGCUUUUUGUGACGGUACCGAGAUAAGAAGCACCGGCUAACUACGUG
Molecule: ribosomal RNA, 465 nt
Filed under: uncultured bacterium
Lineage: Bacteria
Description: partial 16S ribosomal RNA
Rfam family: Bacterial small subunit ribosomal RNA
Source: RNAcentral